Molecule: non-coding RNA, 109 nt
Organism: Microstroma glucosiphilum
Lineage: Eukaryota; Fungi; Basidiomycota; Exobasidiomycetes; Microstromatales; Microstromataceae
Source: the annotation of a RefSeq genome assembly
GCGCCAAUGGUCCAGUGGUCAAGAUACGCGCUUCCCAAUAUUGUUUUGGAGUUGGAAUUCACACCAGCUACAACAGCGCGAGAGUCGGGUUCGAUUCCCGGUUGGCGCA